Molecule: long non-coding RNA, 781 nt
Filed under: Sorghum bicolor (sorghum)
Lineage: Eukaryota; Viridiplantae; Streptophyta; Magnoliopsida; Poales; Poaceae
Description: long non-coding RNA (SBIC_LNC014538)
Source: RNAcentral
ACAGUUAAUGUCAAUAUUAUGUGCUCUCCAUCCAUUGAUCUUAGCUACUUUUGUCCUCAGAAGUAUGCAACCACUUUGAUCCACAAGAUUGACUAUGUGCUACUUUUGUUCCUGGAAGUACCACCCACAUAUACGCACUACACUCUGUGUUGUUUCUAUCCUAGAGACACGCACCUAUGCUGCUCCAACCCUAGGAGUACGUAUUCCUUCAUUCACCCACACACAUUCCACGUCCACUUAGAUAAUGUUCUACUCCUACACUGGGAGAAGACACCCAAAAAUAUUCAAUGUCUUACUCUACUUAUCCAAUAAAGCCCUAGUUAUCCCAGUUGAUACUCCCUACUAUUGUCAUUGAAUUAAAAGGGAUGGAUGAUCUCUAAAAAAAGAGAGAAAAAGAAAGAAAGAGGACAAAAGUCCCAAUACAAAAGAAAAGAAAGACAACCAAAUCCUUAUUUUCAGAUUAGGGAGGUAUGUUAUCCCCAAGGAGCAAAUGUAGAAUUAGAUAUUCAACAUUAGUUAUCACCCCUCAUUACCACUUUUAUUCUUAUCAUUGACUUCAUUCACUACAGUCACAUGCACGUAUGACUUGAUUGUAUAAUUAGUUUCUCUAGAUCCAUGGUUAACUAUGCAAUACAGGCAAGUAGAUUUGAAUUAUCUUUCCCACCUAUGAGCUCCACAUAAGCCAAUUAGAAGUAGGGUGUGAGAGAGAAGGCAACUUUGUCUUAGUGAUACAAAUACCAUAUAUUCUAAGAGCAGAGAUAAGGCAUACUCACUUGCCUUG